AGAGUUUGAUCCUGGCUCAGAGCGAACGCUGGCGGCGUGCUUAACACAUGCAAGUCGAGCGAGAAAGGGGGCUUCGGCUCCUGAGUACAGCGGCGAACGGGUGCGUAAUACAUGGGUAAUCUACCCUUGAGGCGGGAAUAACCCAGCGAAAGUUGGGCUAAUACCGGAUAAGACCACAAGAGGAAACUCUAGGGGUCAAGGGCAACUUUCUUUUGGAGGUGGUCCUUUGAGGAGGAGCCCAUGGCCUAUCAGCUAGUUGGUAGGGUAACGGCCUACCAAGGCGAAGACGGGUAGCUGGUCUUAGAGGAUGAUCAGCCACACGGGGACUGAGACACGGCCCCGACUCCUACGGGAGGCAGCAGUGGGGAAUAUUGGGCAAUGGGGGAAACCCUGACCCAGCGACGCCGCGUGGGUGAUGAAGGCCUUCGGGUCGUAAAGCCCUGUCUGGAGGAAAGAAUGAUCUUGUGGUGAACAUCCGCAAGAUGUGACGGUACCUCCGAAGGAAGCACCGGCCAAUUCCGUGCCAGCAGCCGCGGUAAGACGGAAGGUGCAAGCGUUGCUCGGAAUCACUGGGCGUAAAGGGUGCGUA
Molecule: ribosomal RNA, 589 nt
Filed under: uncultured bacterium
Lineage: Bacteria
Description: bacterial SSU rRNA
Rfam family: Bacterial small subunit ribosomal RNA
Source: RNAcentral